RNAcentral lists this ribosomal RNA (798 nucleotides) under uncultured bacterium. RNAcentral describes it as "bacterial SSU rRNA". It matches the Rfam family "Bacterial small subunit ribosomal RNA", at positions 54 to 842 of the family's 1533-position model. The record is from RNAcentral.
CAUGCAAGUCGAGGGGAAACGACAUCGAAAGCUUGCUUUUGAUGGGCGUCGACCGGCGCACGGGUGAGUAACGCGUAUCCAACCUGCCCAUCACUUGGGGAUAACCUUGCGAAAGUAAGACUAAUACCCAAUGACGUCUCUAGAAGACAUCUGAAAGAGAUUAAAGAUUUAUCGGUGAUGGAUGGGGAUGCGUCUGAUUAGCUUGUUGGCGGGGUAACGGCCCACCAAGGCGACGAUCAGUAGGGGUUCUGAGAGGAAGGUCCCCCACAUUGGAACUGAGACACGGUCCAAACUCCUACGGGAGGCAGCAGUGAGGAAUAUUGGUCAAUGGGCGAGAGCCUGAACCAGCCAAGUAGCGUGCAGGAUGACGGCCCUAUGGGUUGUAAACUGCUUUUAUAAGGGAAUAAAGUGAGUCUCGUGAGACUUUUUGCAUGUACCUUAUGAAUAAGGACCGGCUAAUUCCGUGCCAGCAGCCGCGGUAAUACGGAAGGUCCGGGCGUUAUCCGGAUUUAUUGGGUUUAAAGGGAGCGUAGGCCGGAGAUUAAGCGUGUUGUGAAAUGUAGACGCUCAACGUCUGCACUGCAGCGCGAACUGGUUUCCUUGAGUACGCACAAAGUGGGCGGAAUUCGCGGUGCAGCGGUGAAAUGCUUAGAUAUCACGAAGAACUCCGAUUGCGAAGGCAGCUCACUGGAGCGCAACUGACGCUGAAGCUCGAAAGUGCGGGUAUCGAACAGGAUUAGAUACCCUGGUAGUCCGCACGGUAAACGAUGGAUGCCCGCUGUUGGUCUGAAUAGGUCA